UACGGGGGGGUAAGCGUUGUUCGGAAUUACUGGGCGUAAAGGGCUCGUAGGCGGCCAACUAAGUCAUACGUGAAAUCCCUCAGCUUAACUGGGGAACUGCGUGUGAUACUGGAUGGCUUGGAUUUGGGAGAGGGAUGCGGAAUUCCAGGUGUAGCGGUGAAAUGCGUAGAUAUCUGGAGGAACACCGGUGGCGAAGGCGGCAUCCUGGACCAACACUGACACUGAUGAGCGAAAGCCAGGGGAGCAAACGGG
RNAcentral lists this ribosomal RNA (252 nucleotides) under uncultured bacterium. RNAcentral's name for it is "partial 16S ribosomal RNA". It matches the Rfam family "Bacterial small subunit ribosomal RNA", at positions 524 to 776 of the family's 1533-position model. The record is from RNAcentral.